UACGUAGGGGGCAAGCGUUGUCCGGAAUCAUUGGGCGUAAAGAGCGUGUAGGCGGCCUGGUAAGUCCGCUGUGAAAGUCCGGGGCUCAACCCUGGAAUGCCGGUGGAAACUGUCAGGCUCGAGUCCGGAAGAGGCGAGUGGAAUUCCUGGUGUAGCGGUGAAAUGCGCAGAUAUCAGGAGGAACACCAAUGGCGAAGGCAGCUCGCUGGGACGGUACUGACGCUGAGACGCGAAAGCGUGGGGAGCAAACAGG
RNAcentral lists this ribosomal RNA (253 nucleotides) under uncultured bacterium. RNAcentral describes it as "partial 16S ribosomal RNA". It matches the Rfam family "Bacterial small subunit ribosomal RNA", at positions 524 to 776 of the family's 1533-position model. The record is from RNAcentral.